This 492-nucleotide ribosomal RNA is filed under the name uncultured bacterium. RNAcentral describes it as "partial 16S ribosomal RNA". It matches the Rfam family "Bacterial small subunit ribosomal RNA", at positions 29 to 507 of the family's 1533-position model. The record is from RNAcentral.
AGUGAACGCUGGCGGUAGGCUUAACACAUGCAAGUCGAACGGCAGCACAGUAAUUGCUUGCUCUUACGGGUGGCGAGUCGGGGACGGGUGAGGAAUACAUCGGACUCUACUUUUUCGUGUGGGUUAACGUAGGUAAACUUACGCUAAUACCGCAUACGACCUACGGGUGAAAGCAUGGGAACUUCGGACCUGGCGGGAUUGAAUGAGCCGAUGUCGGAUUAGUUAGUUGGCGGGCUAAAGGCCUACCAAGGCGACGAUCCGUAGCUCGUGUGAGAGGCUGAUAAGCCACACGGGAGGGGGGACACGGACAAGAGUCCUACGGGACGCAGCAGUGGGGAAUAGUAGACAACAGGCGCAAGUAUGGUCCAGCCAUACCGCGUGGGUGGAGACGGCGUUCGGGGUGUGAAGACCUUUUGUUGGGAAAGAAAAGCAGCAGGUUAAUACGACGCUGUUGUGACGGUAACCAAAGAAUAAGCACCGGCUAACUUCGUG